Ornithorhynchus anatinus (platypus) is the source of this 138-nucleotide small nucleolar RNA. The record is from RefSeq and is a predicted model, not a curated record. NCBI's taxonomy places the organism in Eukaryota, Metazoa, Chordata, Mammalia, Monotremata, Ornithorhynchidae.
GACCUCUCAGGAUGGCACCUGGAGAGUUUCCAGUGCUCUACCAGUCUCGGCUAUGGGAGGGAAAAUCAAGCAGAGGCCUGUCCAUCCCAUUCCUAGCCUGGCCAGUGGCUAGCGAGUAGAAGGAGAUCUGCUACAGGU